GCGAUGGAGCAAGAGUUGCUGCUAUGGCCGUCGGGACUUACCCUCUGCGAUUACCAUUAGGAAUUAAUUUAAUUUUAAAAGACUGCUAUUAUGUACCGAUAGCUAGUAGAAAUUUAAUUUUCAUAUCUGUGCUAGCACAGGAUAACUAUAAUUUUUAUUUCAAUAAAGAUAUGUGUGUAGUUUAUUUUGAAAAUAAAGUUGUUACACAUACUUUCUUGAUUGACGGUCUUUAUCAUUUGCAUAUGGAUGCAA
RNAcentral lists this long non-coding RNA (252 nucleotides) under Elaeis guineensis (African oil palm). RNAcentral's name for it is "long non-coding RNA (EGUI_LNC003870)". The record is from RNAcentral. Lineage: Eukaryota; Viridiplantae; Streptophyta; Magnoliopsida; Arecales; Arecaceae.